This 817-nucleotide ribosomal RNA is filed under the name Bacillus sp. (in: firmicutes). RNAcentral describes it as "bacterial SSU rRNA". It matches the Rfam family "Bacterial small subunit ribosomal RNA", at positions 53 to 852 of the family's 1533-position model. The record is from RNAcentral. Lineage: Bacteria; Bacillati; Bacillota; Bacilli; Caryophanales; Bacillaceae.
ACAUGCAGUCGAGCGGACAGAUGGGAGCUUGCUCCCUGAUGUCAGCGGCGGACGGGUGAGUAACACGUGGGUAACCUGCCUGUAAGACUGGGAUAACUCCGGGAAACCGGGGCUAAUACCGGAUGCUUGAUUGAACCGCAGGUUCAAUUAUAAAAGGUGGCUUUUAGCUACCACUUACAGAUGGACCCGCGGCGCAUUAGCUAGUUGGUGAGGUAACGGCUCACCAAGGCAACGAUGCGUAGCCAACCUGAGAGGGUGAUCGGCCACACUGGGACUGAGACACGGCCCAGACUCCUACGGGAGGCAGCAGUAGGGAAUCUUCCGCAAUGGACGAAAGUCUGACGGAGCAACGCCGCGGGAGUGAUGAAGGUUUUCGGAUCGUAAAACUCUGUUGUUAGGGAAGAACAAGUACCGUUCGAAUAGGGCGGUACCUUGACGGUACCUAACCAGAAAGCCACGGCUAACUACGUGCCAGCAGCCGCGGUAAUACGUAGGUGGCAAGCGUUGUCCGGAAUUAUUGGGCGUAAAGCGCGCGCAGGCGGUUUCUUAAGUCUGAUGUGAAAGCCCCCGGCUCAACCGGGGAGGGUCAUUGGAAACUGGGGAACUUGAGUGCAGAAGAGGAGAGUGGAAUUCCACGUGUAGCGGUGAAAUGCGUAGAGAUGUGGAGGAACACCAGUGGCGAAGGCGACUCUCUGGUCUGUAACUGACGCUGAGGCGCGAAAGCGUGGGGAGCGAACAGGAUUAGAUACCCUGGUAGUCCACGCCGUAAACGAUGAGUGCUAAGUGUUAGAGGGUUUCCGCCCUUUAGUGCUGCAGC